CUGGCCAAUCCCUGUGCAGAAAAUAAACUAACCAAUCACAGUUGACUCUGCCCCCUAGACAUUCUAUAUCAACCGCCCUUCCCAGUCAGUUGUGAGCUGUUCUCUCCACUCUGGUAGAGGCAGCUACUCUCCUGAACUCCUCCUUCCCAAAUAAACCUCUUUCUCAAAAGAGUUUUGGGCGAAGACCUUCAUUGACUGGUGAACAGAAGAACCUUGCUGGGAUGUCUUAUAGUGGAACAGGCUAGGGGGAGCUGAAGAGAAGAACCUUGCAGGGACUUCCAGUAGUGGACUGACAAAGAAAGAGCUGGUAACACUGAUCCUGAGAUUGUGGCAAUCCAGGAUAGGAGCAGGAUUGCUGUGUCCUGUGGGAAGAUUGUACUCCAUCACACCAGGUAUAUCCUGACAUUCCUGAAGAGACAGGAUACCCUUCCUUGCUGAAGUAGUUCCAGGCCUGACUCUCCAGAGAGCUAUCAGUUAUUACGUCAAGAGAAUACAGGUCCAUUGCAUUUUUGAUCUUCUUUAAAGUGGAGAUUUUAUUACCAGGAGAAAAGCUGUUUUUCACUUUCCUGCAAUGGAAAGGUAGAAGAUGAACUUCCAGCUAUCAGUUAUUACCUCAUCUAGGGAAGACGGGUCCAUCUCACAUUUGAUGUUCUUUAAAGUGGAGACCUCAGUACUGGAGAAAAUCAGUUUCUCACUUUUCUGCAAUGGAAAGGUAGAGGAUGAA
Peromyscus leucopus (white-footed mouse) is the source of this 724-nucleotide long non-coding RNA. RefSeq lists it as uncharacterized. The record is from RefSeq and is a predicted model, not a curated record. The transcript is spliced from 3 exons. Lineage: Eukaryota; Metazoa; Chordata; Mammalia; Rodentia; Cricetidae.